This 1261-nucleotide ribosomal RNA is filed under the name Scolitantides orion jezoensis. RNAcentral's name for it is "partial 16S ribosomal RNA". Lineage: Eukaryota; Metazoa; Arthropoda; Insecta; Lepidoptera; Lycaenidae. The record is from RNAcentral.
AAAUUUAAAAUUAAUAAUUUAAAUUUAAUAAAAGUAAUUUUAAUAUUAAAAUAAGGGGGUUAAAGUAUUUUAAUAGAAAAAAUUAGAAAUUUUAUAGUUAAUUAGUAUAGUAAUAGAAAUUUGAAAUAAAUGAAAAUAAAUUUAAUAAAAAGUAAAUUUAAUUUAUUGUAUCUUGUGUAUCAGAGUUUAUUAAAUAAUUUUUAAAAAUUUAAAUUUCUCGAAUUUAAAAGAGUUAAUUAAUUAAUAAAUUUAAUGUAAAAUAAUUAUUUUAAAUAAUUAAUUAGAAAUGAAAUGUUAAUCGUUUUUAAAUAUAUCUAGUUAUUUUAGAAAAAAAUUUAAUUUUAAAUUUAUUAAGAUAUUUACUUUAAAUAAUUAAUUUAAAUAGGAAUAAAUUUUAUAGUUUAAGGGAUAAUCUUUAAAUUAAAAAAUUAUAAUUAAUAAUUUUUAAUUUAAAAUUUUUAAAAUUUAUAUUGUUUAAAAAUUGAAGUUUUUUAUAAAAAAUUUUAAAAUAAAUAAAAUUUAAAAUAAAUUUAAUUUUAUAUAAAAGUAUAGUUUUUAAUUAUAAAAUAAUUAGAAAUAAUGAUAAAAUUAGUAUAAUAAAUAAAUAAUAAUAAGUAAAAUUGAUUUAAAAUUAAAUAAAAGGAAUUCGGCAAAAUUGUAUAUUCACCUGUUUAACAGAAACAUGUCGUUUUGAUUUUAAUUUAAAGUCUAAUCUGCCCACUGAUUUAAAAUUAAAGGGCUGCAGUAAUUUGACUGUACAAAGGUAGCAUAAUCAAUAGUCUUUUAAUUGAAGACUUGUAUGAAAGAUUUGAUGAAAUAUAAACUGUCUCUUAUUUAUAUUUAAAAUUUAAUUUUUUAGUUAAAAAGCUAAAAUAAAUUUAAAAGACGAGAAGACCCUAUAGAGUUUAAUAAUUUGUAAUUUAAAAUAUUUAUAUAAAAUUUUAAUAUUUAAUAGAAUAAAUUAUUUUAUUGGGGGGAUAGAAAAAUUAAUUAAACUUUUUUUUUUAUUUAUCAUAAAUAAGUGAAUUUAUUGAUCCUAGUUAAAGAUUAUAAGAAAAAAUUACCUUAGGGAUAACAGCGUAAUAUUUUUUUUUAGUACAAAUAAAAAAAAAAGUUUGCGACCUCGAUGUUGGAUUAAGAUAAAAUUUAAAUGCAAAAGUUUAAAAUUUUGAUCUGUUCGAUCAUUAAAAUCUUACAUGAUCUGAGUUCAAACCGGUGUAAGCCAGGUUGGUUUCUAUCUUUAAAAAAAUAAAAUAUUUUA